GUUUUAAUAAUUUAAUUUAAAAUAUUGGUCUUGUAAACCAACUAUAAGGAUUAUCCUUUUAAAACA
Molecule: transfer RNA, 66 nt
Filed under: Cyrtotrachelus buqueti
Lineage: Eukaryota; Metazoa; Arthropoda; Insecta; Coleoptera; Curculionidae
Description: tRNA-Thr
Rfam family: tRNA
About the family: Transfer RNA (tRNA) molecules are approximately 80 nucleotides in length. Their secondary structure includes four short double-helical elements and three loops (D, anti-codon, and T loops). Further hydrogen bonds mediate the characteristic L-shaped molecular structure. tRNAs have two regions of fundamental functional importance: the anti-codon, which is responsible for specific mRNA codon recognition, and the 3' end, to which the tRNAs corresponding amino acid is attached (by aminoacyl-tRNA synthetases). tRNAs cope with the degeneracy of the genetic code in two manners: having more than one tRNA (with a specific anti-codon) for a particular amino acid; and 'wobble' base-pairing, i.e. permitting non-standard base-pairing at the 3rd anti-codon position.
Source: RNAcentral